CCCUUAGAUGUUCUGGGCUGCACGCGCGCUACACUGAAGCGUUCAACGAGUAUUUCACCUUGCCCGGGAGGGUUGGGUAAUCUUUUUAAAACGCUUCGUGAUGGGGAUAGAUUAUUGCAAUUAUUAAUCUUCAACGAGGAAUUCCUAGUAAGCGCGAGUCAUCAGCUCGUGCUGAUUACGUCCCUGCCCUUUGUACACACCGCCCGUCGCUCCUACCGAUUGAGUUAUCCGGUGAAUAAUUCGGACUGCAGCAGUGCUUGGUCCUCCGGGCUUUGCAGUGGAAAGUUUAGUGAACCUUAUCACUUAGAGGAAGGAGAAGUCGUAACA
This 327-nucleotide ribosomal RNA is filed under the name uncultured eukaryote. RNAcentral describes it as "partial 18S ribosomal RNA". It matches the Rfam family "Eukaryotic small subunit ribosomal RNA", at positions 1470 to 1796 of the family's 1831-position model. The record is from RNAcentral.